RNAcentral lists this transfer RNA (76 nucleotides) under Sporomusa malonica. RNAcentral describes it as "tRNA_Gln_TTG". It matches the Rfam family "tRNA". Rfam says of the family: Transfer RNA (tRNA) molecules are approximately 80 nucleotides in length. Their secondary structure includes four short double-helical elements and three loops (D, anti-codon, and T loops). Further hydrogen bonds mediate the characteristic L-shaped molecular structure. tRNAs have two regions of fundamental functional importance: the anti-codon, which is responsible for specific mRNA codon recognition, and the 3' end, to which the tRNAs corresponding amino acid is attached (by aminoacyl-tRNA synthetases). tRNAs cope with the degeneracy of the genetic code in two manners: having more than one tRNA (with a specific anti-codon) for a particular amino acid; and 'wobble' base-pairing, i.e. permitting non-standard base-pairing at the 3rd anti-codon position. Lineage: Bacteria; Bacillati; Bacillota; Negativicutes; Selenomonadales; Sporomusaceae. The record is from RNAcentral.
AGGGGCGUCGCCAAGUCGGUAAGGCAACGGACUUUGACUCCGUCACGCGUUGGUUCGAGUCCAGCCGCCCCUGCCA